UGGCUCUCGCAUCGAUGAAGAACGCAGCGAAAUGCGAUACGUAAUGUGAAUUGCAGAAUUCCGUGAAUCAUCGAAUCUUUGAACGCACCUUGCGCCUCUUGGCAUUCCGAGGGGCAUGCCUGUUUGAGUGUCAUUUACAUAUCAAAAAGAAAAUCCUUUUGAAGGUGUUUUCUUUUUGGACUUGGGGGGUUUAGUGCUGCUGCUUGCUUCAUUGCAGGGAUCAGCUCCUCUUAAAUGCAUUAGCAAUGGUUUGAAUGUUUAUUCAAAUGGCAAAACUAUGCUUGAUUUUGGCAUUGAUAAUUAGUUCUUCUAUGCCCAAGUUCAAGCUUGGUUUCCUUGGUCAUUGCUCACAGCAGUCCUUGAGACAAAAUUUAACCUUGACAAACUUGACCUCAAAUCAGGUAGGACUACCCGCUGA
Molecule: unclassified non-coding RNA, 418 nt
Filed under: uncultured fungus
Lineage: Eukaryota; Fungi
Description: partial contains 5.8S ribosomal RNA and internal transcribed spacer 2
Rfam family: 5.8S ribosomal RNA (bases 1-133)
Source: RNAcentral